Molecule: long non-coding RNA, 1208 nt
Organism: Onychostruthus taczanowskii (white-rumped snowfinch)
Lineage: Eukaryota; Metazoa; Chordata; Aves; Passeriformes; Passeridae
Exons: 2
Source: RefSeq, a predicted model, not a curated record
CUGGCGGUGGCACCCGUGGGGACCUUGGGGGUGGCACUGGGAGUGAGUGACACUCAUGGGGACCUUGGGGACAUGAGGGUGGCACCAGGGAGGGGCACUGACACCCCUGGGGGUGGCACCAAGGGUGGCAGCGGAGGUGGCACUGACACCUCUGGAGGUGGCACUGAGGAUGGCACUGGGGGGUGACACUGGGCAGGGGGUGGCACCAACACCCUUGGGGGUGGCACCGAGGGUGGCACCGGGCAGAGAGGUGGCACUGACAUCCCUGGGGGUGGCACUGGGCAGGGGGUGGCACCAACACCCUUGGGGGUGGCACCGAGGGUGGCACCGGGCAGGGGCGUGGCACUGACACCCCUGGGGGUGGCACUGGGCAGGGAGGGACACUGGGGGUGGCACCAAGGGACGCCCGCAGCACUCAGGUGACAUUAAGGGACACAGGACACCUGUGGGGGUGGCACCAGGGGACACCGAGGGGCACAGGUGGCACUAAGGGAAGGCAGUGCCACCCUGGUGACACCCUGCGGGCAGUGCCAGCGCCGUUUAUUGGGGCGGGGACAGCCGGGGUGGCACGUGUCCCCAAACACGUCACACACACGUCGCACACCUGUCACAUGCGUCACACACGUGUCCCCAGCAGCACAGGACACGGGAGUGGCCACGUGGCCGCGGUGGCAUCAGGCGAGGGCACGUGUCCCUUGUGCCACCACCAUGGGCACUGCUGUGGCCACGUGGCCAUCAACGGUCACAGCGAGUGACACUGGCUGUUGUCACUGUCACCAACACGGCCACAGCAAGUGACACUGGCUGUUGUCACUGUCACCAACACGGCCACAGCGAGUGACAGCGGCUGUUGUCCCCUCUGUCACCAACACGGCCACAGCAAGUGACACUGGCUGUUGUCACUGUCACCAACACGGCCACAGCGAGUGACAGCGGCUGCUGUCCCCUCUGUCACUAACACGGCCACAGUGAGUGACAGCGGCUGUUGUCAUUGUCACCAACACGGCCACAGCGAGUGACACUGGCUGUUGUCACUGUCACCAACACGGCCACAGAGAUGCCAUCAAAGGCUGCCAUGUAUCCCCUCUGUCACCAACACAGUCACAGCAAGUGACACCAGCUGCUGCCGCUGUCCCCUCUGUCACCAACGCUGUCACAGCGAUGCCAUCAGCCGUUGUCACUCGUCCCCUCUGUCACCAACACAGCCA